GGGGCUAUAGCUCAGAAGGGAGAGCGCUUGCAUGGCAAGCAAGAGGUCAGCGGUUCGAUCCCGCUUAGCUCCACCA
RNAcentral lists this transfer RNA (76 nucleotides) under Escherichia coli. RNAcentral's name for it is "E-site tRNAAla(GGC) from Escherichia coli (PDB 6OJ2, chain QW)". It matches the Rfam family "tRNA". Rfam says of the family: Transfer RNA (tRNA) molecules are approximately 80 nucleotides in length. Their secondary structure includes four short double-helical elements and three loops (D, anti-codon, and T loops). The record is from RNAcentral. Lineage: Bacteria; Pseudomonadati; Pseudomonadota; Gammaproteobacteria; Enterobacterales; Enterobacteriaceae.